Non-coding RNA from Maylandia zebra (zebra mbuna), 516 nucleotides. NCBI's taxonomy places the organism in Eukaryota, Metazoa, Chordata, Actinopteri, Cichliformes, Cichlidae. The record is from RefSeq and is a predicted model, not a curated record.
CUCACCUGCGUCUCCAGCACCGCCCCGUUGAGCUCACUGCACCACUCCUCCCCUGCAGCCGCGCCCGGGACCACACCUCCGCCACAGUCUUUCUCCUGGAGAAGAAAAACAAUCAGGACUAAAAGACAGAAGGAAGAAAGUGAAAGUGACUGUGCGAGGCGUUGAAGUCAUGAAGUCAAGUGGAGGCCGCUGACUGCUGUUACUUUCUGCUGUACAGGUUCAACAGGGACUCACAGUCAGCCUGCUAGAACAUUUGGAUGAAGAGAAAAAGGAGGAAAAAGACUUUGAGGGACAAAUCCAAUAAGAUCAGCAUGUUUUGAAUGUGGGAAUACAACAGUUUCCUCCACCAUGACACACACUGGAGCCUCUUUUUGCUCACAGCUUCACUGUUUGUCUCAAAGUUCAGUUUGGAGGCCAAAAUUGUUGCAACACAUUUGUAAGUUUGCACUAAUUUCACUGUGUGACCCUUAAUGGAUGUAAUGAAAGAAUCAGUCAGUGAAAUAUGAAGCUGUGCUG